Molecule: long non-coding RNA, 364 nt
Filed under: Serinus canaria (Common canary)
Lineage: Eukaryota; Metazoa; Chordata; Aves; Passeriformes; Fringillidae
Description: lncRNA (ENSSCAG00000014724.1)
Source: RNAcentral
CUCCCUGCUGCAGGUUGUUGAGGAUCUGAUGGGGACUCGCAUCUCAGGAGCCGGAGGUGACUAAAGAAAUGUUGAAUACAGUACUCUGCAAAAAAUAACGUGUGGAUUUCUCAAACCUGAAGAACAAGAAAAGGCACUGCCUCUUUGGGGUCCCUUUGCUUUGGAAAUGAAACUGAUGUAAAUGGAAGGUCUCAGACUCUGGAUACUGGCUGUGGGAUUUUUUUUUUUAAUUAUUAUUAUUAUUAUUGAUUUUUUUUGUCCCUCUUUUUGGAUGUGAAUUGAAGGCCAACAACAGUGAAGUGUUGGAAGCAAGUGCAGGAGGACGCUCACCUUUUUAUUUGAACCCUUGUUUGCUGGGAUACUU